GACGAACGCUGGCGGCGUGCUUAACACAUGCAAGUCGAACGGAAAGGCCCUGCUUUUGUGGGGUGCUCGAGUGGCGAACGGGUGAGUAACACGUGAGUAACCUGCCCUUGACUUUGGGAUAACUUCAGGAAACUGGGGCUAAUACCGGAUAGGAGCUCCUGCUGCAUGGUGGGGGUUGGAAAGUUUCGGCGGUUGGGGAUGGGCUCGCGGCUUAUCAGCUUGUUGGUGGGGUAGUGGCUUACCAAGGCUUUGACGGGUAGCCGGCCUGAGAGGGUGACCGGCCACAUUGGGACUGAGAUACGGCCCAGACUCCUACGGGAGGCAGCAGUGGGGAAUAUCGCACAAUGGGCGGAAGCCUGAUGCAGCAACGCCGCGUGCGGGAUGACGGCCUUCGGGUUGUAAACCGCUUUCGCCUGUGACGAAGCGUGAGUGACGGUAAUGGGUAAAGAAGCACCGGCUAACUACGUG
This 468-nucleotide ribosomal RNA is filed under the name uncultured bacterium. RNAcentral describes it as "partial 16S ribosomal RNA". It matches the Rfam family "Bacterial small subunit ribosomal RNA", at positions 28 to 507 of the family's 1533-position model. The record is from RNAcentral.